UCUAAUCGGCGAUACCUUACCUUCCACCGCUGUUCAGUUUCGAUUCAUUCGUUAGCGCUGCCAGUUUGCAGAAUUCAGUCGUCGUGCAGUCAGAAGUGAACCGCACGUGUGAACCCGUCCGCCGUGAAGCCCAAACUCGUCUCGUCUCCACCACCUGUCACCAUUCUCCCUCACACGCGCGUGAUCUAAAUAAUCUUCAUCGACAUCAUCAACAGCCGCAUCGUUGUUAUCUUGCGUAGAUCACAUUAGAGUGGAGGCCAACGACUCACGCAUACGUUUAGGAGGAUGCAUUCCCGGACGACCAGCAAAAGCGACGAAGGCAGCGUUAGUGACUCAAGGUCGUCGAUUGGCAAGAGUGGGGAGAGCAAAGUGCGUCGUCAGCGCGGAGGCUGUAGAGCGCUGAUCCGAAAAGCCUGGGACUUUACUAAGCUAGUCUUCUUCACACUGUUGCACUUGUACCGGAGCAUGUCGGCGUUUUGGAGCCAGAUGCACGUUUGCAUGCUACCGGCGCUCGGGGAGCUGGACCAUCAGGAGGAACAGGAAGCAGAAGAGGCUAGGCAGCGGGAGUUAGAGCAGAAUCAGCAAGAGUCUUCGAAAUCACCCAAACGAAAACCGGUCUCGAAAAAGGACUGAUUGUUAUUUAUCAUAUUGUACAGUUAUCACAUCUAUUCGUUGUCGUCGUCGGGUUAGGUUUAGUGUGUUAUCUUUUAUUUUCAUUGGUGUCUGUAGCGUGUGUAGCGUCCCACUAAUCGGCGUUACGAGUCGUUGGACUCGUUUCGGGGCUCAGGGGUUGCUCAAGAAGCGCCUUAAUUGGAGGCCGACCACAGUGAACACAUUAGGUGCAAUUGUGAUUCUGUAAUAGCAUAUAAGACGUAAGCUGUGCUGCGAAACAAAAAAAGAAUGAAAAAAAAAACAACUGAAUAAAAAGGCAGAUUGAAUCAACCUACAAAAAGGAAAGAAUUCAUGAGUGCAUACACUUAAUUCCAGCGUCAUUCAUUUGCCUGCCAAAUUGACCACUUUUCUGCUGACGUUGCGGCGAUUCCGAAGCCCCGAUUAAGUGGUCAAUACAAGCUCGCGCGCGUGGAGUCGAUGCGAAAGACGUAUUACGUCGUGAGGAAGACAAUGGAUGCCUCGAAGCUACCAAAGGAAAACGAAUCGAGGGAGUUGGUCCCAGGAGAACCUCACCCUUGCAAAAGAGGCUAUUGCUAGUGGAGUUUCUAUUAAACAAGGUGGUAAGCUCGAAACUAGGACCAAAAGAGACCGUAUUUAUGGUGGAGCAGGAAGCGGAGAUCAUGCAGCACCUACUUGACCUAGAAAACCGAUAGAAUGCAAGAAAUGGGUUCAUGAGACAUGCUACACGGAUUUCGAUAUGACGUGCAUCUUUUGUUCUUAAGGUGUUUUUUAUGAAUUGAACUACUGAU
Long non-coding RNA from Toxorhynchites rutilus septentrionalis, 1421 nucleotides. RefSeq lists it as uncharacterized. Lineage: Eukaryota; Metazoa; Arthropoda; Insecta; Diptera; Culicidae. The record is from RefSeq and is a predicted model, not a curated record. The transcript has 3 exons.